GAUGAACGCUAGCGGGAGGCCUAACACAUGCAAGCCGAGCGGUAGAGAUUCUUCGGAAUCUUGAGAGCGGCGCACGGGUGCGGAACACGUGUGCAACCUGCCUUUAUCUGGGGGAUAGCCUUUCGAAAGGAAGAUUAAUACCCCAUAAUAUAUUGAAUGGCAUCAUUCGAUAUUGAAAACUCCGGUGGAUAGAGAUGGGCACGCGCAGGAUUAGAUAGUUGGUGAGGUAACGGCUCACCAAGUCAACGAUCCUUAGGGGGCCUGAGAGGGUGAUCCCCCACACUGGUACUGAGACACGGACCAGACUCCUACGGGAGGCAGCAGUGAGGAAUAUUGGACAAUGGGUGAGAGCCUGAUCCAGCCAUCCCGCGUGAAGGAUGACGGCCCUAUGGGUUGUAAACUUCUUUUGUAUAGGGAUAAACCUACUCUCGUGAGAGUAGC
RNAcentral lists this ribosomal RNA (441 nucleotides) under Chryseobacterium sp. OR3. RNAcentral describes it as "bacterial SSU rRNA". It matches the Rfam family "Bacterial small subunit ribosomal RNA", at positions 28 to 469 of the family's 1533-position model. The record is from RNAcentral. Lineage: Bacteria; Pseudomonadati; Bacteroidota; Flavobacteriia; Flavobacteriales; Weeksellaceae. RNAcentral also lists the same sequence under 6 other names.